This 642-nucleotide ribosomal RNA is filed under the name uncultured bacterium. RNAcentral describes it as "bacterial SSU rRNA". It matches the Rfam family "Bacterial small subunit ribosomal RNA", at positions 232 to 885 of the family's 1533-position model. The record is from RNAcentral.
CGCGGCCUAUCAGCUUGUUGGUGGGGUAAUGGCCUACCAAGGCGACGACGGGUAGCCGGCCUGAGAGGGCGACCGGCCACACUGGGACUGAGACACGGCCCAGACUCCUACGGGAGGCAGCAGUGGGGAAUAUUGCACAAUGGGCGGAAGCCUGAUGCAGCGACGCCGCGUGAGGGAUGACGGCCUUCGGGUUGUAAACCUCUUUCACCCAUGACGAAGCGCAAGUGACGGUAGUGGGAGAAGAAGCGCCGGCCAACUACGUGCCAGCAGCCGCGGUAAGACGUAGGGCGCGAGCGUUGUCCGGAAUUAUUGGGCGUAAAGAGCUCGUAGGCGGUUUGUCGCGUCGACUGUGAAAACCUACAGCUUAACUGUGGGCUUGCAGUCGAUACGGGCAGACUUGAGUUCGGUAGGGGAGACUGGAAUUCCUGGUGUAGCGGUGAAAUGCGCAGAUAUCAGGAGGAACACCGGUGGCGAAGGCGGGUCUCUGGGCCGAUACUGACGCUGAGGAGCGAAAGCGUGGGGAGCGAACAGGAUUAGAUACCCUGGUAGUCCACGCCGUAAACGGUGGGAACUAGGUGUGGGGGACUUCCACGUCCUCCGUGCCGUAGCUAACGCAUUAAGUUCCCCGCCUGGGGAGUACGG